Molecule: ribosomal RNA, 422 nt
Filed under: uncultured bacterium
Lineage: Bacteria
Description: partial 16S ribosomal RNA
Rfam family: Bacterial small subunit ribosomal RNA
Source: RNAcentral
GAAUAUUGGACAAUGGGGGCAACCCUGAUCCAGCCGUGCCGCGUGUGUGGAGAAGGCCUUUUGGUUGUAACACACUUUAAGCAGUGAAGAAGACUCCGUGGUUAAUACCCAUGGACGAUGACAUUAGAUGCAGAAUAGGCACCGGCCAACUCUGUGCCGGCCGCCGCGGUAAAACAGAGGGUGCAAGCGUUAAGCGGAAUUAUUGGGCGUAAAGCGAGCGUAGGUGGCUUGAUAAGUCAGAUGUGAAAUCCCCGGGCUUAACCUGGGAACUGCAUCUGAUACUGUUAGGCUAGAAUAGGUGAGAGGAAGGUAGAAUUCCAGGUGUAGCGGUGAAAUGCGUAGAGAUCUGGAGGAAUACCGAUGGCGAAGGCAGCCUUCUGGCAUCAUAUUGACACUGAGGUUCGAAAGCGUGGGUAGCAAAC